GUGAGAUUAGCUAAUCUCACCCCUAUUUAAAUUUUAAAUAUUUUAAAUUUCGAAUGUUAAAAUUAAUAUUUAUAAUUUUAAAUUUUAAUUUUUAAUUUUAAAAUUACUAUUUUUAAUUUUUUAAAUUUAAAAUUUGAUAUUUGAUAUUUUAAAUUUAGAUUUGAUUUUAAAUUUAAAAUUUAUAACUUUAAAUUUUUAAAUUUGAGAUUUAAAAAUUUUAGUUUUAAUUUUGAAUUUUUUCAUUUUAAUAAUUAUAUAUUUAAAUUUAAAAUUUAAAAUUUAAAAUUCAAAUAUAAUAUAAGGGGCAAUAUUAUUAUUUGGGAAAACUUCAAAAACCCCAUCUAUGGUUUCGUAGUUUCUCACUUUGCCCCCCUGUGGUUUAAAAUAUAUCAAUUUGCCCCCCUGUGGUUUCUUUUUUCUCUUUUUCAUAUCAAUUUCAUUAUUUUUUUUCCUUAAAUCAAUGAUAAAGUUAAAAUUAAAGGGUACUAAAGUGAAUAUUUGAUAAAUCUAGAUGGGUAUCUGAAGUUUUUUGUAUAUAAUUUAAUGAAAUAUUAACGAAAAAGCUAUCGAAAAGAUAAAAACAAAACCACAGGGGGGCAAUUUGAUACAUUUUAAACCACAGGGGGGCAAAGCGAGAAACUAUGAAACCACAGGAGGGGUUUUUGAAGUUUUCCCUUAUUAUUUUCUAUUCAUAACCCCCACUAUUCUUCUUAUUCCAUUUUAUCUAUCCAAAUCCUAUUUUCUUAUUCUGAAGAAUAAGUCAUUUUUCAUCCAAACGCAAAAUUGAUCUAUUACAUGCUUAUACCUGAACUUAUAUCUAUUCCUGAACUAGGUAAUUCUUAUUAAUGCUCGAACCAAAUGAAGCCUUAGAGAAUUUUGUUAUAAUUAGAUGUGGACAGAAGGACACUGACAAAAUUGACCUUAAAAUGAAUAGAAUGAUU
RNAcentral lists this long non-coding RNA (941 nucleotides) under Ananas comosus (pineapple). Its description in RNAcentral is "long non-coding RNA (ACOM_LNC035660)". The record is from RNAcentral. Lineage: Eukaryota; Viridiplantae; Streptophyta; Magnoliopsida; Poales; Bromeliaceae.